CUUGCCCUUCUCCCUCCCUCCUUCCCUCUCUCCCUCUCUAUCUCUCUCUCUCUAAAUCUUGAUUUUUCAGGGGAUGAAAAGAUGAGGAAAAGCUUUCUUUUUGAGGGGAAUGUUGUCUGGCUCGAGGCCACCAACAAGAUCAUUAAUCUUUAUGAUUGAUCUUAUGUAAGUGUCGUCGGACCAGGCUUCAUUCCCCCCAAUUCUUGCUUUCUCUCACCCAUGAUCUUGUCUCUAGAUGAUUCCUAGUAAACAUAAAUCUUCCAAAAAUGGUCUGCUAAUUGAAAUUUGGUUAAUAGUUCUGUCUAAUUUGUUGAUCUAAUUGUUUAUGGAUGAGUUUUGGGCUAUUUUGUAUGUGGGUUUUUCGAAUUGUCAGGUGAAUCGUCGACUGUUAGCCAUGCAGGAGCAGAUUGGUGUAAUGAUUAAAGAUUUUGACCUGCUUUUUCUGCCAAAAAAUAUAUACACAAAAGAAGACGGUAAUAGAUUCAUAUUAUCAUCAUUACUAAUGUUUUUAUAUGCAGAUUCUUCUAUUCUGUGGGUUUGUGCUGUUUACUGUUUGUCAGUCAUUUUUCUCAUGAUGAUUUCAAGAAUCUAUUCUGUCUUUUAUGCUUUCACCUGAUCUGCCUUUUACUUGAGCAUAUGAGCCAUAGUUAUGAAUAUAUAAGGUCGAAAUUGAUGUGCAAUUUUGAAUUUACAAAUAAUUCAUAAAUUUAUUUGCCAAAUAAUGGUUUAGAUUUGGGAAUUGUAAAUUUUUUCAUUGCCAUCAGUUUGUUCAUAUCUUUAUGGGCUUUUCUUCAUUAGGGUUUCAUCUUCCUCACGGGUUUACUAUUUUCAUCCGUGAGAAUUUAACUCUUUGACAAUGAAUCAACAAAUUUCUUAUUUAUCUCCAUGUCAGGAUAAAGAUAUAUACAUGAAUUGCCUUUGUUGGCGGGGGGGGGGGGGGGGGUAUGAACUUCUGUUGAACAGCCUAAUUAGCUUCAGAAACAUCAGUUACAGAGUAUUUUUUUAUUUAUUUUUUUUAUAUAAAUAUUUGCACCAGAUCUGUAGUCUCAACAUAUUUGAAUUAUGCAUAUUUAGUACACAAUAUUGGACAAGAUUCGAGGGCACUAAGGUGUACAUUGUUAAUCAAGAACGUUCAUGUAUGUUUCCUUCUCUUGAUGAUUAAUUAGCUCAGUGAAUAAUCCUCUAGAUUUUCAGUAUCAACUAGCCAAAACUGGAUGAGGUAAAUCCUUGUAUUGUUUGUAUAGUUUCUCGUGCAUUAAAAAGAACCCUUAUUUGUCUUGUUGAACGCUGAGAAUUUUCUUUAGUUACCCGAGAAAUGAAAGAUACCAUUUGAACUUCUGUAAAGCUAGCGUAUGAUUUCUAUGUUGCUUGAAGAAAGGUGAAGGAAUAACCCAUUUGCCGAGGAAAAUAUUGCUUUUGAAUUAUGAUAUAGACCUAACUUCGUCAGGAGAUUUCUUGUUCAGACCAAAUUAAUCCUCAAACAGCAUUGUUUUACAUUGCCUUCUUAACAUCAAUUCUUUCAAUUUGCUUGUUAAUGUUGUUAAGGGAUAAAAUUCUACAUCGAAUAAAGAUGAAAAUAUAGACCAAUUUAUAAAUUCUUGGGCUACUCCUCUUCACAAGAUUAAUCUUUUAAGAUGGAACCCCAAGCCUCUUAACAAAUGCUUCAUCACAUAGUGUGAAUGGUUGCCCGGGAAUGAACAAACGCUAUGGCUGACCAGCAAUUAUUACCAGUUCGAGCAUCAAGCAAGAAAAUUUGCAGCUCGAACAACAAUCGAGUCAAUAUUUUUCAAGAAAUUUGACUGAAGCUCAUGAAGUCAUUCAAGCUGGUUAGAAAGUUGUAUUCUGUCAGAUCCAAUAGAUCUUCAAGAUACUAAUGGAAUAUGGAAUGAAGUGUUAAAGUUGUUAGAGAAUGUUAUCACUUUUAAUUCUUUAAUUUGUAUUUCAGCUAUAGGUUUCUCAUUAACUUUUCCAAGCCAAGAGAAAAUGCAUUCACUUCAACUUUAUGUUCUUCUUCCCUCAAAAUUCCAAGAUUUUUCCUCACCUUUACCUUUUGCUUAGAAUCAAUGUCCAAAAGUUGAUUAUAUUUAUAUAAUAAGUUCAUGCAAUUAAUGAACACAUUUGUAACACUCACCCUUCAGCUGGAUUGUAAAGAGAGCAAUCAAAAGGUUAUAUAACCCACAUACCAAUACUUAUGGGACACAAUAAGUUCAUUAUCAGAUGAUCUAAAUUAUUGAGGAUACAUGCUCAAUCAAUUGAUACACAUUUAUUCCUUGCCUCCAAAGUUUAACCUUUCAAUUUCUGAGGAGGUACCUAUAAUAUUUUCAGUAGAGUAGUGCUAUUUAGCAUCACUGAUGUUAUAAUGUCAGUUUAAGUGACUAAGUGUCAUCAAAUGAAAUCUUCAAUUAUAUGAGUCACAUAAUUUAACCUAUUAUAUAAUGCCACGUUGACUAAUACUCUAAUAUCCUUGAUACUAGAUAGCAUUAUUUUUCUAAAUAAAGGCGCUCGACCAUCGAUCUAAACUAAGUGGGAGGCAAUUAGGACAAUUGAAAAAUAUUGCUUGCACCCAAAGGAAAAGGUAAACUUGAGAUUAGAGAUGAAAAAAAUUUAUUGCACAUAAGGAUGAUGCAAAAGAAAUGAAAAGACCAUGGAGUAAAGGUGAAUAGAAGCCAUCUGUAGCCCUCCGAGGCAUAAUUCAGUAGUGCAAAGAAAAGGAGUGAGGUUGUCUCAAUCUUACUGACAGUCGUAGUGUGAGGGUUCGAUUCCUAAGAUAUGGAAUUUGACUCUUUGUGGACACCAAUGUACAGGCAAGCUCUUGUUCUCUGACUUGUUGGGGUACAUCCCACAAUUUACCUACCCUACGAUGCUCCAGGGGCGGGACAGUGGGGCCUUAAGGUUGUAGUUCAACUCCUUUUUUUUUUUUUUUUAAUAGAAGCCAUCUGUAGACAAGAAGGCUGACAGACCUGGCUCUGAUAAUUUGUGUCAUCAAAUACUGAAGCUUGAAAGAGCUUAUGCAUCAUGGGGAAAAUUAAAUGGCCUUGAAUUGAAUGAUCUGACCCCUUUCUUCUGACACAGUAGAGUCGCCAUCACCAAUCUAUUCCAUGGCCUUCUUUUAAACUGUGUGCAUUGUUAAUUGGACAAUGAUUUUUCUCUUUUUAUCUGCAGUGAAAUGUCAGCUUACUUUCUGCAAGUCUUCUUCUCCUCCUCCUUUACUCCCACAUUUUCUGCAUACUGAUGGCCUUCUAGUCAGAGUUUUGCCCGUGUUUCUGUUCAUUCCUUAAGUGAUUUUGAUUGUGUCCAAAGCGUAUUACGGUGGUAUUAGAUGAGAUCUACAAUAUUUCCUUCUUGUCCACAUCCUAAUGUGUGGAUGCCAAAGUCCAAUAGAUUAAUUAACAUUCUUCCUUGAUGAGAGAGGGAAAAAGAAAUAUAUUACUACACAUUGUGUUGGUGAGUAAAUUAUAAUCACUUAUGGUUAAAUAUGUUUUUUACCCAUAAAUUUAGGCCUCGUUUAGUACAUAUUAAUGUAAAAAUGAGAAUGAAAAUAUAGCCGCACGUGCCCCACACGAGAUAGAAAUUCAAAUUUCGUGACUUGAUGUGAUGGAUAACAAUCAUAUUUUUUAUUUUAAUGAAGAAAAAAUGGGAAACAAAUAGGUAUAAUCCACAAUUGCUAUUCUCUUUGACAGAAGUUUAAUACAUUUAAAGUUAAAACAAAUUAAUAGUCAAAUUUAAAGAUUGAUGAAAGUUCAAACGAUCAUUGCAUGCAUGUUAUUAAAAAU
RNAcentral lists this long non-coding RNA (3773 nucleotides) under Olea europaea subsp. europaea. The stretch from base 100 to 201 matches the Rfam family "mir-166 microRNA precursor family". Lineage: Eukaryota; Viridiplantae; Streptophyta; Magnoliopsida; Lamiales; Oleaceae. The record is from RNAcentral.